RNA transcript from Pan troglodytes (chimpanzee), 4443 nucleotides. It is a transcript of the gene named lysophosphatidic acid receptor 6, with no coding region annotated. The record is from RefSeq and is a predicted model, not a curated record. Lineage: Eukaryota; Metazoa; Chordata; Mammalia; Primates; Hominidae. The transcript is spliced from 4 exons.
AUUUGAUUCUUCUCUCUUUUCUUCUUUAUUAGCCUGGCUAGUGGUCUAUGUAUUUUGUUAAUCUUUUCAAAAAACCAGCUCCUGGAUUCAUUGAUUUUUUGAAGGGUUUUUCGUGUUUCUCUCUCCUUCAGUUCUGCUCUGACCUUAGUUAUUUCUUAUCUUCUGCUAGCUUUUGAAUUAGUUUGCUCUUGCUUCUCUAGUUCUUUUAAUUGUGAUGUUAGGGUGUCAAUUUUACAUCUUUUCUGCUUUCUCCUGUGGGCAUUUAGUGCUAUAAACUUCCCUCUAAACAUUGCUUUAGCUGUGUCCCAGAGAUUUGGGUAUGUUGUGUCUUGGUUCUCAUUGGUUUCAAAGAACUUCUUUGUUUCUGCCUUAAUUUCAUUAUUUUCCCAGUAUUCAUUCAGGAACAGGUGGUUCAGUUUCCAUGCAGUUGUGCAGGUUUGAGUGAGUUUCUUAAUCCUGAGUUCUAAUUUGAUUGCACUGAGGUCUCAGAGACUGUGUUAUGAUUUCCAUUGUUUUGCAUUUGUUGAGGAGUGUUUUACUCCCAAUCAUGUGGUUAGUUUUAGAAUAAGUGUGAUGUGGUGCUAAGAAGAAUGUCUAUUCUGUUGAUUUGGGGUGGAGAGUUCUGUAGAUGUCUAUUAGGUCUGCUUGGUCCAGAGCUGAGUUCAAGUCCUGAAUAUCCUUGUUAAUUUUCUGUCUCAUUGAUCUGUCAAAUAUUGACAGUGGGGUGUUAAAGUCUCCCACUAUUAUUGUGUGGGAGUCUAAGUCUCUUUGUAGGUCUCCAAGGACUUGCUUUAUGAAUCUGGGUGCUCCUGUAUUGGGUGCAUACAUACUUAGGAUAGUUAGCUCUUCUUGUUGCAUUGAUCCCUUUACCAUUAUGUAAUGCCCUUCUUGUCUUUUUUGAUCUUCGUUGGUUUAAAGUCUGUUUUAUCAGAGACUAGGAUUGCAACCCCUGCUUUUUUUGUUGUUGUUGUUGUUUUUUUUUUUUUGCUUUCCAUUUGCUUGGUAAAUCUUCCUCCAUUCCUUUAUUUAGAGCACGUGUCUUUGCAUGUGAGAUGAGUCUCCUGAAUACAGCACACUGAUGGGUCUUGACUCUUUAUCCAACUUGCCAGUCUGUGUCUUUUAAUUGUGGCACUUAGCCCGUUUACUUUUAAGGUUAAUAUUGUUAUAUGUGAAUCUGACCCUGUCAUUAUGAUGCUAGCCAGUUAGUUUGCCCAUUAGUUGAUGCCCAUUAGUUUCUUCAUAUUGUCGAUGGUCUUUACAAUUUGAUAUGUUUUUGCAGUGGCUGGGACCAAUUUUUCCUUUCCAUAUUUAGUGCUUCCUUCAGGAGCUCUUGUAAUGCAGGCCUGGUGGUGACAAAAUCUCUCAACAUUUGCUUAUCUGUAAAGGAUUUUAUUUCUCCUUCACUUAUGAAGCUUAGUUUGGCUGGAUACAAAAUUCUGGGUUGAAAAUUCCUUUCUUUAAGAAUGUUGAAUAUUGGCCCCCACUCUUUUCUGGCCUGUAGGGUUUCUGCAGAGAGAUCCACUAUUAGUCUGAUGGGCUUCCCUUUGUAGGUAACCCGACCUUUCUCUCUGGCUGCUCUUAACAUUUUUUCCUUCAUUUCAACCUUGGUGAAUCUCACGAUUAUGUGUCUUGGGGUUGCUCUUCUUGAGGAGUAUCUUUGUGGUGUUCUCUGUAUUUCCUGAAUUGGAAUGUUGGCCUGUCGUGCUAGGUUGGGGAAGUUCUCCUGAAUAAUAUCCUGAAGAGUGUUUUCCAAAUUGGUUCAAUUCUCCCUGUCACUUUCAGGUACAGGGACAAUCAAACAUAGGUUUGGUCUUUUCACAUAGUCCCCUAUUUCUUGGAGGCUUUGUUCGUUUCUUUUCAUUCUUUUUUCUCUAAUCUUGUCUUCACACUUUAUUUCAUAAAGGUGAUCUUCAAUCUCUGAUAUCCUUUCUUCUGCUUUGGCUGUUGAUACUUGUGUAUGCUUCACGAAGUUCUUGUGCUGUGUUUUUCAGCUCCAUCAGGUCAUUUAUGUUCUUCUCUAAACUGCUUAUUUUAGGUAGCAAUUCCUCUAACCUUUUUUCAAGGUUUUUAGCUUCCUUGCAUUGGGUUAGAACAUGGUCCUUUGGCUUGGAGGAGUUUAUUAUUACCCACCUUCUGAAGCCUACUUCUGUCAAUUCAUCAAACUCAUUCUCUGUCCAGUUUUGCUCCCUUGCUGGCGAGGAGUUGUGAUUUUUUGGAAGAGAAAAGGCAUUCUGGUUUUUGGAAUUGUCAGCCUUUUUGCGCUGGUUUUUCCUCAUCUUCAUGGAUUUAUCUACCUUUGGUCUUCGAUGUUGGUGACCUUCAAAUGGGGUUUCUGUGUGGAAGUCCUUUUUGUUGAUAUUGAUGCUAUUCAUUUCUGUUUGUUAGUUCUCCUUCUAACAGUCAGGCCCCUCUGCUGCAGGUCUGCUGGAAUUUGCUGGAGGUCCACUCCAGACCCUGUUUGUCUGGAUAUCACCAGCAGAGGUUGCAGAACAACAAAGAUUGCUGCCUGUUCCUUCCUCUGGAAGCUUUGUCCCAGAGGGGCACCCACCAGACGGCAGCUGGAGCUCUCCUGUUCCCUCUGCUAUGGCUCUUCCUCAGUAGAAACAACUGGCAACAAAAUUCAAGUUUAUGAUUCAUUCAUCAGCAAACAUGUGAGAAUCAUCUACAAAGAACCAAGAAUUGUGAGAAAGCGACCUCAAGAUACAACUGGCAACUGAGGAAAAGGCCUCAAUUCAACAAGCGCUAACAAGCUUGGGAAUUUAUUUCGGAAUCUUUAAAAGACUCUUCUGCUUACCCACAAUCUGGGAUCCACUGCAGGAAAACAAAAAAGGAAAACUUCAUUUAAAAGAAGCAAGAAGUAAAAUGGGACAAAUUGGGAAUGUUUAAGUCUCUGAAACUCUGCACUGAAAAGAAAAUAAGAUUGAUAACUUAAGCUUAACAUUCUGAGGCAUAAAGAAACAUUAACUUUGGAGUAUUCAUCUUGACUACUGAAAUACAAGUUUGGAAGACAAGUGGUUUCAUUCUGGUCACAGAUCACAGCUUUUCUUUAAAUUUAUAAUCCUAUGGGUUGGCCUCGUUGACUGUAUUUUUUAAAGGUUGCUCGUCAGUUAACUGAGCCUUGGAAUUCAUGGAUUUUCUAAAGACUAACAAAUGAAAAUAUUUUCCUGUUGAAGAACCCAGCGGAAAUUUUACAGCAACAAAUUUCAUGUUUCUUUUGGGUAUUUCUGAGAAAAAGGAAAUAUUUAUAAAACCAUCCAAAGAUCCAGAUAAUUUGCAAAUAAAUUGGAGGUUAUAGAGGUUAUAAUCUGAAUCCCAAAGGAGACUGCAGCUGAUGAAAGUGCUUCCAAACUGAAAAUUGGACGUGCCUUUAUGAUGGAUUUUUUACUUCACAACACGGAAUUGGCCAUUUGGAGAUUUACUUUGUAAGAUUUCUGUGAUGCUGUUUUAUACCAACAUGUACGGAAGCAUUCUGUUCUUAACCUGUAUUAGUGUAGAUCGAUUUCUGGCAAUUGUCUACCCAUUUAAGUCAAAGACUCUAAGAACCAAAAGAAAUGCAAAGAUUGUUUGCACUGGCGUGUGGUUAACUGUGAUCGGAGGAAGUGCACCCGCCGUUUUUGUUCAGUCUACCCACUCUCAGGGUAACAAUGCCUCAGAAGCCUGCUUUGAAAAUUUUCCAGAAGCCACAUGGAAAACAUAUCUCUCAAGGAUUGUAAUUUUCAUCGAAAUAGUGGGAUUUUUUAUUCCUCUAAUUUUAAAUGUAACUUGUUCUAGUAUGGUGCUAAAAACUUUAACCAAACCUGUUACAUUAAGUAGAAGCAAAAUAAACAAAACUAAGGUUUUAAAAAUGAUUUUUGUACAUUUGAUCAUAUUCUGUUUCUGUUUUGUUCCUUACAAUAUCAAUCUUAUUUUAUAUUCUCUUGUGAGAACACAAACAUUUGUUAAUUGCUCAGUAGUGGCAGCAGUAAGGACAAUGUACCCAAUCACUCUCUGUAUUGCUGUUUCCAACUGUUGUUUUGACCCUAUAGUUUACUACUUUACAUCGGACACAAUUCAGAAUUCAAUAAAAAUGAAAAACUGGUCUGUCAGGAGAAGUGACUUCAGAUUCUCUGAAGUUCAUGGUGCAGAGAAUUUUAUUCAGCAUAACCUACAGACCUUAAAAAGUAAGAUAUUUGACAAUGAAUCUGCUGCCUGAAAUAAAACCAUUAGGACUCACUGGGACAGAACUUUCAAGUUCCUUCAACUGUGAAAAGUGUCUUUUUGGACAAACUAUUUUUCCACCUCCAAAAGAAAUUAACACAUGGACAUUUUAAAGUCUUUAGUAUAAAGAAAAUUUGUAUUCAAUGUGUUAAGCAUUAACAUGUAUUUUAUUUGUGUAUCCACUCCAUCUGAUUUUUCUGAGCCAUUUUGAUUUGUUCCUUCAUUAAAAAAAAUCUCUUAAAGUUA